This 775-nucleotide non-coding RNA is filed under the name Antheraea polyphemus (polyphemus moth). The record is from RNAcentral. Lineage: Eukaryota; Metazoa; Arthropoda; Insecta; Lepidoptera; Saturniidae.
AAUAAAUUUAUUAUGGUUAAAAAAAAUUUAUUAUGAACUUAUUUUACAUAUAAAUUUUAGUGAGAAAUUUUAAUUAUUUUAAUAAUAAUUGAAUUUUUGGGUAGUAAUUAACAUUAAAAAUUUAAGAAAUUAAGAUUUAGUAAUGUCGAAAUUAAUAACUAAUUUUGUGCCAGCAGUUGCGGUUAUACAAAAAUUAAGUUAAAUUUUUUUAGUAAUUAAUUAAUAAAAAUAAAAUUAAUUUAAAUUUUAAAUUAUUAGGUGAAAUUUUAAUUUAAUAAAAAAUUAUUAAAAAUUUAUGAUUUAAUAAAUUUUAUAAAAAACUAGGAUUAGAUACCCUAUUAUUAAAAAAUUAAAUAAAUAAUACUAAAAUAGUAAAUAAUUUAUUGAAACUUAAAUAAAUUGGCGGUAUUUUAGUUCAUUCAGAGGAAUCUGUUUAAUAAUUGAUAAUCCACGAAUAAAUUUACUUAAUUUAUUAUUUUGUAUAUCGUUGUUAAAAAAAUAUUUUAUUAUAAUAAUAAUAUUUUAAAAUUUUUAAUAAAAAUUAAAUCAGAUCAAGAUGCAGAUUAUAAUUAAGAAUAUAAUGGAUUACAAUAAAAUUAUUUAUUAAUGAAUAUUAAGUUGAAAAAUUUAAUUGAAAGUGGAUUUGAAUGUAAUUUUAUUUAAAUUAAUAAAAUGAUUAAUAAUUAAAAUAUGUACAUAUUGCCCGUCGCUUUCAUAAAUAAAUUGGAAUAAGUCGUAACAAAGUAGAGGUACUGGAAAGUGUUUCUAGAAAGAA